Molecule: ribosomal RNA, 1930 nt
Filed under: Stromboscerini gen. sp. DDM-2009
Lineage: Eukaryota; Metazoa; Arthropoda; Insecta; Coleoptera; Curculionidae
Description: eukaryotic LSU rRNA
Rfam family: Eukaryotic large subunit ribosomal RNA
Source: RNAcentral
AAACUAACUAGGAUUCCCUCAGUAGCUGCGAGCGAACAGGGAAGAGCCCAGCACCGAAUCCCGCGGCCGACAACGGGCGCCGGGAAAUGUGGUGUUCGGGAGGAUCUAUUAUCUCGAAGUCAUGCGGCGCGUCCAAGUCCUUCUUGAACGGGGCCACAGCCCAUAGAGGGUGCCAGGCCCGUAGCGACCGCCGCUGAUAGCGAGAAGAUCUCUCCUUAGAGUCGGGUUGCUUGAGAGUGCAGCCCUAAGUGGGUGGUAAACUCCAUCUAAGGCUAAAUAUGACCACGAGACCGAUAGCGAACAAGUACCGUGAGGGAAAGUUGAAAAGCACUUUGAAGAGAGAGUUCAAGAGUACGUGAAACCGUUUAGGGGUAAACCUGAGAAACCCGAAAGGUCGAAGGGAGAAAUUCAUUCGCGUUUCGCGAUCGGCAUUAGGUUCGAGAGCGACGGGGAGCGUUUCGGCGCUGUUCCGCGCCACGAGCUUAACGAUCCGGCCACGAACGCGUGCACUUUUCUCCUGGUAGGACGUCGCGAUCCGUUGAGUGUCGGUCUACGGCUGACGGUGGAGCCCGAGAGUACGAUUCGCGUCGUUGCUUUCGGACCCGUCUGUCCCGGCCGGCUCGCUCGACGGUACGCAAACGGUUUUAGGCCGCUCUUUCGAGCGUUCGACUCGCGGCAAGCGCGCCAUUCGUUGUCGGUGCGCGGACUUAGCGCCGCGCCUGACCUUUGGUGACUGUUGGCCGCGAUGUUCUCGAACAGACCUUUUACCGAUCGGCGACGCUAUAGCUUUGGGUACUUUCAGGACCCGUCUUGAAACACGGACCAAGGAGUCUAGCAUGUGCGCGAGUCAUUGGGAAUCACUAAACCUAAAGGCGUAAUGAAAGUGAAGGUUCGCUUCGCGCGAACCUAGGGAAGAUGAGCGAUACACCCUUAAAAGUGUUCGUUCCGCAUUCCCGGGGCGUCUCGUUCUCAUCGCGAGAAGAGGCGCACCAAGAGCGUACACGCUGGGACCCGAAAGAUGGUGAACUAUGCCUGGUCAGGACGAAGUCAGGGGAAACCCUGAUGGAGGUCCGUAGCGAUUCUGACGUGCAAAUCGAUCGUCGGAACUGGGUAUAGGGGCGAAAGACUAAUCGAACCAUCUAGUAGCUGGUUCCCUCCGAAGUUUCCCUCAGGAUAGCUGGCGCUCGUCGCGUACGAGUCUCAUCCGGUAAAGCGAAUGAUUAGAGGCAUUGGGGUCGAAACGACCUCAACCUAUUCUCAAACUUUAAAUGGGUGAGAUCUCCGGCUUGCUUAAAUAGUUGAAGCCGUGAGAUUCGGAUCAGAGUGCCAAGUGGGCCAUUUUUGGUAAGCAGAACUGGCGCUGUGGGAUGAACCAAACGUCGAGUUAAAGCGCCUAAAUCGACGCUUAUGGGAUACCAUGAAAGGCGUUGGUAACUUAAGACAGCAGGACGGUGGCCAUGGAAGUCGGAAUCCGCCAAGGAGUGUGUAACAACUCACCUGCCGAAGUUACUAGCCCUGAAAAUGGAUGGCGCUGAAGCGUCGUGCUAUACUCGACCGUCAGCGGCAUGUGCGAUCGUCGUUCGUUUCGGCGAGCGGCGAUCAUGAAGCCCUGACGAGUAGGAGGGUCGCGGCGGUGAGCGCAGAAGGGCUGGCCGCGAGGCCGUCUGGAGCCGCCGUCGGUGCAGAUCUUGGUGGUAGUAGCAAAUACUCCAGCGAGGCCCUGGAGGACUGACGUGGAGAAGGGUUUCGUGUGAACAGCCGUUGCACACGAGUCAGUCGAUCCUAAGCCCUAGGCGAAAGCCGAUGUCGAUGUGGUGUAGGUUAACUUUUAAGAACGUUGUGUGUUUUUUUAACGACGACCGACACGAACACACCCAUUGGGCGAAAGGUAUUCUGGUUCCUAUUCCGGAACCUGGCAGCGGAACCGAUC